AAGAGACAGAUACCAGCUGGAUGGACUUUCUCUGGGCAGCCAUGCUGGGAACUCUCUUAUGGUCAGGGGAAGCAGAGCUGCAAUAACAGCAGGUGGAGAUGGGGUGCGAUCUGCUGCACCUGGGAUUCCUCCUCACAGUUCUCCAGCAGCUAGAACCUGAACGUGGAACAACUUGGUCGUCUGGCUGGUCGGUUUGGAAUCCUUGAGACUUCUGUGUGUUCUGCAUCUGCCACCUGUAGCAGUUGCUCUGUCGAUUGUUCCUGCUGAGGAACAAAGUGUGGGUGCUGAUGGUUUGUGCUGAGCUCUUCACCGUCAGUCUCGAUCACAUAGGAUCUAGGCACUUUUUAUGACAGCGGGCGUUGUCCAUCCUUUUUCUCCAUCUGAUUUGGCAUGAACACGGGCACCAGGUUCUAGACCCAGCAGUUCUCUAACCGAGCGAGGUCUGUUGUAUAAGUGUUCCCAAGCUCUUUUAGCUUUUUAAAUCUGAUUUGGCUACUCUCUUCAUGCCUGGCCACUUUGAAAAUAGAUUCUUGCCCAAAGUUGGAGCAGUAAUUCUGAGAUGUCUUCCCCAAAGGAUUCGUGCUGGACUAUAUCCAGUAACCGCUGUUGUUGUUGGUAACUCAGAAGAGCAAGGAAUGGCUCUUCCUGGUAUAGGAUUUUCUUGGCUGCCAGCACAGCUCUCUCAGCCUCUCUAUUCGCUUGUGAGUAAUGUGGGCUGCUAGUAAUAUGAUCAAAAUCAUAUUUUAUUCAGAGUGACUUAAAUUCUGCUGGGGACACUUGUGGUCCGUUGUCUGCCACUAGUUGUUCUGGAAUACCAAAGUGAGCAAAAGUGUACUACAGUUUGUCAAUACCACUGCGACAUGUUAUGUCUGCUGAGUACAUUCUUUCUAUAUACCUGGAAGAAUAGUCCUUGGUGACCAGAUAAUGGUAUCCACUGAAUUUGCAUAAAUCUGCAGCUAGUCUCUUCCAAGGUCUAUCUGGUAGGGGUGUUUGUACCCGGUAUGGUUCAGCAUUGUCUCUGGAUUUGUAUUGGAUCUCCUUUUAAAAGCCCAAUAUCCUCAAAUCCUCUGUCACGUUCUUCCGUCUUUCACACUAGGCUGUCAUGGCUGCCACAAUGCAGCUGCGAAAGCUGUUGGGGGUUCUUAGGUCACUGUCCUACGGAGAAGUGCCCUCCCCCGUUGUUGGCCUCAGCCAGAGCUCCCCAGUUCCCUGCUGAGUGGAAGUUGCUCCUGCCCCACGGCUGGCCACAAAUGUACCCCCUCCCCCACAAAGCCUUAGCCUGUGUCAGGCCUUCAUCUGUCCCUGACUCCCUGCCCUCUCCUAGAAGCCAUUUGAUUUCCCCAAUUCCCUGCUGCGUUUGGAAGCUGUUUCCCAUGGCUGCUGUUCUCUGUGUGUGACUUACUGAUGAGAUGAGGAACAUGGGUCUUGGUCAUUGCAGAUCCCCUUGUGCCUUUCCUCCAGGCCAGGCUAUUCACGCCAAUGCCCUGAUUCCCAGAUCAGCCUCUUCCCCUCCAUCCUCCCCGAGUCCCCGCAUCUGGACACAGGUUUCUUCUCCACUUCAUUUUGCUCAGUGUUGCCGUGUACUGAUGAGCAGCGGCCGUGUCCCACCCAGGGGUGGCUGCCUGUCUGGGGUGUUUGGAGUGACUCUCAGGCUGGGUGCAUGGUUGGUAAAGCAUGGAGGGCUCCUUUGGGUGAAACGGGAGUGUUUCAGUAAGCGCUGUUCUGCUUGGGUCGUUGCAUUAAAUCCUGUUGCCGUUAAUUCAGUUGCUUCAACUGUGUCUUCUCCAUGGAGUUAUUUGAU
Molecule: long non-coding RNA, 1801 nt
Organism: Mauremys reevesii (Reeves's turtle)
Lineage: Eukaryota; Metazoa; Chordata; Testudines; Geoemydidae
Exons: 3
Source: RefSeq, a predicted model, not a curated record